UUAAGUGACUAAGCGUACAGGGCGGAUGCCUUGGCAAUCAGAGGCGAUGAAGGACGUGCUAAUCUGCGAAAAGCUUGGAUGAGUCGAUAAGAGGCGUUUAAUCCAAGAUGUCCGAAUGGGGAAACCCGAUGGAUGAAGAAUCCAUCAUUUCAUUGUGAAUACAUAGCAAUGAAAGGCGAACCGGGAGAACUGAAACAUCUAAGUACCCCGAGGAAAAGAAAUCAACCGAGAUUCUGUGAGUAGCGGCGAGCGAAAGCGGAAGAGCCAGUAAGUUUUAGCUAGUGUAUUAGAGGAAUUGGCUGGGAAGCCAAAUCAAAGAGGGUGAUAAUCCCGUACUCGAAAAUACGAUAGUGGAACUAAGCUUACGAUAAGUAGGGCGGGACACGAGAAAUCCUGUUUGAAGAUGGGGGGACCAUCCUCCAAGGCUAAAUACUCCUGAUUGACCGAUAGUGAACCAGUACUGUGAAGGAAAGGCGAAAAGAACCCCGGUGAGGGGAGUGAAAUAGAACCUGAAACCCUGUACGUACAAGCAGUAGGAGCGAGGGAAACCUUGUGACUGCGUACCUUUUGUAUAAUGGGUCAGCGACUUAUAUUUUGUAGCGAGGUUAACUGAAUAAGGGAGCCGAAGGGAAACCGAGUCUUAACUGGGCGUUGAGUUGCAAGGUAUAGACCCGAAACCCGGUGAUCUAGCCAUGGGCAGGUUGAAGGUUGGGUAACACUAACUGGAGGACCGAACCGACUAAUGUUGAAAAAUUAGCGGAUGACUUGUGGCUGGGGGUGAAAGGCCAAUCAAACCGGGAGAUAGCUGGUUCUCCCCGAAAUCUAUUUAGGUAGAGCCUUGAGCGGACACCUUCGGGGGUAGAGCACUGUUUCGGCUAGGGGUCCAUCCCGGAUUACCAACCCGAUGCAAACUGCGAAUACCGAAGAGUGAUACUCAGGAGACACACGGCGGGUGCUAACGUUCGUCGUGGAGAGGGAAACAACCCAGACCGCCAGCUAAGGUCCCAAAGUCUAUAUUAAGUGGGAAACGAAGUGGGAAGGCUUAGACAGCUAGGAUGUUGGCUUAGAAGCAGCCAUCAUUUAAAGAAAGCGUAAUAGCUCACUAGUCGAGUCGGCCUGCGCGGAAGAUGUAACGGGGCUCAAAUAUAGCACCGAAGCUGCGGCAUCAGAAUUUAUUCUGUUGGGUAGGGGAGCGUUGUGUAAGCGGAAGAAGGUGGCUCGAGAGGGUUGCUGGACGUAUCACAAGUGCGAAUGCUGACAUAAGUAACGAUAAAACGAGUGAAAAACUCGUUCGCCGGAAGACCAAGGGUUCCUGUCCAACGUUAAUCGGGGCAGGGUGAGUCGGCCCCUAAGGCGAGGCUGAAAAGCGUAGUCGAUGGGAAACGGGUUAAUAUUCCCGUACUUGGUAAAGCUGCGAUGUGGGGACGGAGAAGGUUAGGUAAGCGGACUGUUGGAAAUGUCCGUUUAAGUUGGUAGUUGGGAGCGGUAGGCAAAUCCGCUGCUCCAUUCAACAACGAGAGAUGAUGACGAGUUCCUAAGGGAAUGAAGUUACCGAUACCCGGCUUCCAGGAAAAGCCACUAAGCGAAAGGCUUUACUAAACCGUACUGAAAACCGACACAGGUGGUCAGGUAGAGAAUACUCAGGCGCUUGAGAGAACUCGGGUGAAGGAACUAGGCAAAAUAGCACCGUAACUUCGGGAGAAGGUGCGCUUACAGUAAUUGUAGUCCCUCGCGGAUGAAGGUGAAGUAAGUCGAAGAUACCAGCUGGCUGCAACUGUUUAUUAAAAACACAGCACUCUGCAAACACGAAAGUGGACGUAUAGGGUGUGAUGCCUGCCCGGUGCUGGAAGGUUAAUUGAUGGUGUUAUCGAAAGAGAAGCUCCUGAUCGAAGCCCCAGUAAACGGCGGCCGUAACUAUAACGGUCCUAAGGUAGCGAAAUUCCUUGUCGGGUAAGUUCCGACCUGCACGAAUGGCAUAAUGAUGGCCAGGCUGUCUCCACCCGAGACUCAGUGAAAUUGAAAUCGCCGUGAAGAUGCGGUGUACCCGCGGCUAGACGGAAAGACCCCGUGAACCUUUACUAUAGCUUGACACUGAACAUUGAAUUUUGAUGUGUAGGAUAGGUGGGAGCCUUUGAAGCAGUGACGCCAGUCAUUGUGGAGGCGACCUUGAAAUACCACCCUUUAACGUUUGAUGUUCUAACGAAGUGCCUGAAACGGGUACUCGGACAGUGUCUGGUGGGUAGUUUGACUGGGGCGGUCUCCUCCCAAAGCGUAACGGAGGAGCACGAAGGUUUGCUAAUGACGGUCGGACAUCGUCAGGUUAGUGCAAUGGUAUAAGCAAGCUUAACUGCGAGACGGACAAGUCGAGCAGGUGCGAAAGCAGGUCAUAGUGAUCCGGUGGUUCUGAAUGGAAGGGCCAUCGCUCAACGGAUAAAAGGUACUCCGGGGAUAACAGGCUGAUACCGCCCAAGAGUUCAUAUCGACGGCGGUGUUUGGCACCUCGAUGUCGGCUCAUCACAUCCUGGGGCUGAAGUAGGUCCCAAGGGUAUGGCUGUUCGCCAUUUAAAGUGGUACGCGAGCUGGGUUUAGAACGUCGUGAGACAGUUCGGUCCCUAUCUGCCGUGGGCGUUGGAUGAUUGAUUGGGGCUGCUCCUAGUACGAGAGGACCGGAGUGGACGCAUCACUGGUGUUCCAGUUGUCUCGCCAGAGGCAUUGCUGGGUAGCUAAAUGCGGAAGAGAUAAGUGCUGAAAGCAUCUAAGCACGAAACUUGCCAAGAGAUGAGUCAUCCCUGACUUUAAGUCAGUAAGGGUUGUUUAAGACUAAGACGUAGAUAGGUUGGGUGUGUAAGUGUAGUGAUACAUUGAGCUAACCAAUACUAAUUGCCCGAGAGGCUUAACCAU
RNAcentral lists this ribosomal RNA (2901 nucleotides) under Pasteurella multocida subsp. septica. RNAcentral describes it as "23S ribosomal RNA". It matches the Rfam family "Bacterial large subunit ribosomal RNA". The record is from RNAcentral. Lineage: Bacteria; Pseudomonadati; Pseudomonadota; Gammaproteobacteria; Pasteurellales; Pasteurellaceae.